UUCUGCUCUCACAGGUAUCUUUAACCCCAAACAGCCCAAAGAUGCAGCCAAGAACUUCAGCUUUGAUUAUUCAUACUGGUCUCACAGCACGGAGGAAGACCCAGCUUUCGCGUCCCAGCGGCAGGUGUAUCUGGACAUCGGCGAGGAGAUGCUGCUUCAUGCCUUUGAGGGAUACAACGUGUGUAUUUUCGCCUACGGUCAGACCGGAGCAGGGAAGUCCUACACCAUGAUGGGAAAACAAGAGCCUGGACAGCAAGGCAUCAUUCCACAGAUGUGUGAAGAUCUGUUCAAGCGCACCAGUGAGAACACCGACCCUGAUCUGUCCUACUCUGUAGAGGUGCUGCUACACACACACACACACACACAAAAAACACACUCCUCACAUCACACACACACA
Puntigrus tetrazona (Sumatra barb) is the source of this 397-nucleotide long non-coding RNA. RefSeq lists it as uncharacterized. The transcript is spliced from 3 exons. The record is from RefSeq and is a predicted model, not a curated record. NCBI's taxonomy places the organism in Eukaryota, Metazoa, Chordata, Actinopteri, Cypriniformes, Cyprinidae.